This 971-nucleotide long non-coding RNA is filed under the name Mytilus galloprovincialis (Mediterranean mussel). Lineage: Eukaryota; Metazoa; Mollusca; Bivalvia; Mytilida; Mytilidae. The record is from RNAcentral.
CAACGAAGUUGCGGAGGGUAUAAUGUUUUUGACCCUUUCGUCCGUCCGUCCGUCUGUCCGUCCGUCAGUCCUGUUUCUUGUCAUCGCAACUUCUCUAAAACCACACAACAGAAUUUCACGAAACCUUUUCAGAUAAUAAGGACAUACUAUGUAGUUGUGCAUAUCGACGGGAAAUUGCGAUUCAUUUUUUUUCUAGGAGUUACGCCCCUUUGAACUUAUUUGCUUCAAUGUACUACUGCAACAGUUUGUCAUCGCAACUCCUCUCAAACCACACAACAGAAUUUCAUGAAACCUUUUCAGAUAAUAAGGACAUACUAUGUAGAUGUGCAUAUCGACAGGAAAUUACGAUUCAAUUUUUUUUCUAGGAGUAACGCCCCUUUGAACUUAUUUACUUUAAUGUACUACUGCAACAGUUUGUCAUCGCAACUCCUCUCAAACCACACAACAGAAUUUCACGAAAUCUUUUUAUAUGAAAAGGACAUAUUAUGUAGUUGUGCAUAUCGACAGGAAAUUACGAUUCAAUUUUAUUUCUAGGAGUUACGCCCCUUUGAACUUAUUUGCUUCAAUGUACUACUGCAACAGUUUGUCAUCGCAACUCCUCUGAAACUACAUAACAGAAUUUCAUGAAACCUUUUCAGAUAAUAAGGACAUACUAUGUAGAUGUGCAUAUCGACAGGAAAUCACGAUUCAAUUUUUUUUCUAGGAGUUACGCCUCUUUGAACUUAUUUGCUUUAAGGUACUACUUCAACAGUUUGUCAUCUCAACUCUUCUGAAACCACAGAACAGAAUUUCAUGAAACUUUGUAGAUAAUAAGGACAUACUAGGUAGAUGUGCAUAUCAACAGGAAAUUACGAUUUAAUUUUUUUUCUAGGAGUUAUGCCCCUUUGAACUUAUUUGCUUCAAUGUACUUCUGCAACAGUUUGUCAUCUCAACUCCUCUGAAAACACACAACAGAAUUUCAUGAAAUUUUG